AGCGAACGCUGGCGGCAGGCCUAACACAUGCAAGUCGAACGGACCCUUCGGGGUUAGUGGCGGACGGGUGAGUAACACGUGGGAACGUGCCUUUAGGUUCGGAAUAGCUCCUGGAAACGGGUGGUAAUGCCGAAUGUGCCCUUCGGGGAAAGGAUUUAUCGCCUUUAGAGCGGCCCGCGUCUGAUUAGCUAGUUGGUGAG
This 200-nucleotide ribosomal RNA is filed under the name uncultured bacterium. Its description in RNAcentral is "partial 16S ribosomal RNA". It matches the Rfam family "Bacterial small subunit ribosomal RNA", at positions 29 to 256 of the family's 1533-position model. The record is from RNAcentral.